Molecule: ribosomal RNA, 488 nt
Filed under: Zebrus zebrus (zebra goby)
Lineage: Eukaryota; Metazoa; Chordata; Actinopteri; Gobiiformes; Gobiidae
Description: partial 16S ribosomal RNA
Rfam family: Bacterial large subunit ribosomal RNA
Source: RNAcentral
UUUAACGGCCGCGGUAUUUUGACCGUGCGAAGGUAGCGUAAUCACUUGUCUUUUAAAUGGAGACCAGUAUGAAUGGCACGACGAGGGCUAAACUGUCUCCUUUCCCUAGUCAAUGAAAUUGAUCUGCCCGUGCAGAAGCGGGCAUACACACAUAAGACGAGAAGACCCUAUGGAGCUUUAGACAUCAGAGGAGCCCGCGUUAAUGACACCCCUCACGGGCAUAAACAAAGCGACUAUCUCCCCCACUGUCUUCGGUUGGGGCGACCACGGGGAAUCACAUAACCCCCGAGUGGAACGGGACACCCUCCCCAAAAAAAGCNCCUCAGGCCUAGUCAUCAGAAAAUCUGACCAGCAAGAUCCGGAAAUCCGAUCGACGGACCCAGUUACCCUAGGGAUAACAGCGCAAUCCCCUUUUAGAGCCCACAUCGACAAGGGGGCUUACGACCUCGAUGUUGGAUCAGGACCUCCUAAUGGUGCAGCCGCUAUUA